UACUUUAAAUUAAUAAAAUUACUGUCGUUUACUAUUGAAUUAUAUGCUGCAGAGUUACACUGUUAUACGAGUAAUACAUAAUAAGUACUUUUAGAAAUGUAGUUAAUUCGAAGUUCGAACUUGAUACUAUUCAAUACUAUCUAUAAUAACAUGAAAAACCAUUCAAUAUAGAUUGUAUCGCUAUGAGUGACACGUGGACAUUUUUAUGUGGGAUAUUAGUGAUCUGUAUAUUGACUAUUCUCCACAUCCGUGUGUACAAUGUUAUUUGUACCAAUGUCUCCACAUUAAUUGGACUACGCGAGAUAUCACACAGCAACUGUUUCAGUUCCGAGCGAGUAAUUGACGAAAUGCAAAUCUUCCUUGUGAUUGCCUCCCUAGCUGCCUUUUCGAUAGUGAUAGUGAGUGCUGAAGAAGGAUCAUGCCCUCCGACUCUCCCUGUUGACAUAUGCAACGCCCAAUGCGGGCCUAACGCGGCAUGUGAAGGAAAGCAGUUAUGUUGUCCAACGGCGUGUGGUGGGUCCAUGUGUGUGGAUGCCAUGACGAAGAGACAUUUCACUACUUUUA
Plodia interpunctella (Indianmeal moth) is the source of this 564-nucleotide long non-coding RNA. RefSeq lists it as uncharacterized. The transcript has 2 exons. Lineage: Eukaryota; Metazoa; Arthropoda; Insecta; Lepidoptera; Pyralidae. The record is from RefSeq and is a predicted model, not a curated record.